UACGAAGGGGGCUAGCGUUGCUCGGAAUCACUGGGCGUAAAGGGUGCGUAGGCGGGUCUUUAAGUCAGGGGUGAAAUCCUGGAGCUCAACUCCAGAACUGCCUUUGAUACUGAAGAUCUUGAGUUCGGGAGAGGUGAGUGGAAUUCCGAGUGUAGAGGUGAAAUUCGUAGAUAUUCGGAAGAACACCAGUGGCGAAGGCGGCUCACUGGCUCGAUACUGACGCUGAGGUGCGAAAGCGUGGGGAGCAAACAGG
RNAcentral lists this ribosomal RNA (253 nucleotides) under uncultured bacterium. RNAcentral's name for it is "partial 16S ribosomal RNA". It matches the Rfam family "Bacterial small subunit ribosomal RNA", at positions 524 to 776 of the family's 1533-position model. The record is from RNAcentral.